Molecule: long non-coding RNA, 3649 nt
Filed under: Triticum aestivum (bread wheat)
Lineage: Eukaryota; Viridiplantae; Streptophyta; Magnoliopsida; Poales; Poaceae
Description: long non-coding RNA (TAES_LNC010563)
Source: RNAcentral
UUUCUAGUCCUGCCGAUUUUCUUGAUGCACCCCAAUUUACAAAGGCAACCAAAUUAUAUUCAUUCAAAUAAUAGCAUUUGUCCAUAAGACAAUACAAAUUUCCAACAAUCUAGUCUGAUGUCCAAAACCAAAGCUUAAUAUCGAAACAUCACAAGCAUAUUUAGAACACACUAUAAGCAUUUUUUAAGAAUUCAAGUAACACGACUACAAUGCACUACUAGCUGAUUUGAACUCCAACACUACAGCACCACUUCCAGGCAGCUGACCCAAGUAAUUCUUGCCAAAAACAUCAAUCUCCAAUAACACAGACUAAGUGUCAAACCUGCACAAUUCAAAACACAUACAACAUUAUAAUAAGUUAUAACAGCUAGCUCCCAAAUGAAUAGAGUAAUAAUAUUAGUUGAUUUUCCAAGCAAUCAUCCGAUGGACACACCACUACUAUAUUAAGGUACCAUGAAAAUGGGGUAACACACGCUAAAAAAAGCAUACUAGUUACAAGUUAAAAAUUUUGUUCUAUAAAUGUGUCAUUUUAUCAUCCAAACAUAGAAAUCAUUUUGAAACAAAGGAUGAACAGAUAAUUUCAUAUUCAUCAAGUGCAACAAAAAAUCAAGUUUAUAUGCACAUGACAAGGCUUGUAUAUAUAAAAAUGGAUGUUUCCAUACAAUGCAAUGUAGUUUAUAGUUAAUAAUACAUGAAAAUAAUAAUAGUGGAGGCACACUUUCUUAUCAAUUAAAACUAAUUUCUAUGAAAAACUUGCUUUUUGCAUGUAAUGUAAAGCAAAACCACUCAAAGGCAAGAACCUUUUAGCCAAUCAAAUGAUCCACUUAUUGAUCUUAUUAUGCUAGCAGUAGACUUUAUGAAUACCAAAUAUUCAUGAGCAUCAGAAAACUUCAGAUAAGCACUUUAGAACAAAGAUGAACCUACUAGUUAAGAUUUAGUCUGAUUCUUUCAAACCAUAACCUUCACAACUAGAUUAACCACACCUGGGAAUUGUGAAGAACAGUACAAAUGCACUAUGUAACAGAUUGAACACUCCUAAAUCUGAAGCAAAAUAAUAUACCAUCCAUUUGUAAUCUUACAGAAAAGCGCUCAAUCUUCACUUACAUUGCUCCUUCGGAUUGCAAUUCUGUGUACACGCAUUUUCAGAAAUACAGUAGUACAAAAUCCAUCAUCUCUGUUGUAAUAAGGGAAAAAACUCAACAUCAAUAAAACUGUUGCUUGCAAACCCAAAGAAGAACGGAAAACAGAAGGAUUAUUUAUACAACUAUAGAAAGAAGUAAGGUAAUAAUUGAAUGAGACAUCAAGGCAAUAAUGAAGCGUUGAUGUUCCCUUGACAAGGUUUUGAUAUAUACCAUAUUAUUUUGGUACAAUUUCAGUAAAUACCAUAUAAACAAUAGGUGUCGCGAAUAUAAAACGACACAGUGACUUCACAUAAAAAAGCGCAUAUACAUGAUAAAUUUAGUAGGUGAAAAUAUCUUUACUAAAAACUAAAAUGACCACCACUCAUUCACGAGUUCUAUAGUACAGUAGUAGCACACUAGCACUAGUUCUGUAGUACAAACAGUAAGGUAUUUAACCAAACUGGACCAUUCUAAGCUAGCACAAACACUUGCAUGCAUUAAUGUUCAUUUUGUAGUAGCACGCUAGCUUGUGGCACAGGGCCACCAAGCUUUCACGUAGUGGCUCUGUAUAAGCACAAAACUUGCAUGCACAUAAGAUUCCUAUGCAGUAGACUAGUAGUAGCACACUUGGUCUUGGCAACAAACUUUAAUUUGCUCACCGUUGGUCUGACACGUACAUGCCUAGGGGAGAUGCAUGCAUGCUGAUGAGCCAGUCAGUAUAUAUUGCAGACAAACACAUCAUCCCAAGAUGAUUGGGGUCGUAUAAUUUUUGUAUGAUAAGCAUCAACAGCAAAUGGAAGUUAGUUUUUACCGACUUCUUACUUAUUCCUAGUUGUGCCCACGUGAUGACUUCAAGCAACUCCUCCAAGGUUCCAUAGCUGCCUGUCAAAUUAAUUGAAUGUCAAAACACUUGUGGAAGAAUUGUAUUCAGAAAUUUCUUUCACUUGUGGAAGAAUUCUAUUGGUACCUAGUAUAGCAAUAAAAGCAUCAGCAAACCGAGCCAUUUCGCCCUUCCCCUCGUGCAUGCCAGAAACAACUCUAACUUAACCUACAUGAUCGCCUAGUACCUAUAUGAGUGUGGAUUAGGAACAGUAAGAAACUAAGCAACCAGCCACAACAUACUGACAGCACGGCAGCGGCCGACGUCCUUGGGCGGCAAUCCCUUGAGUACCACAGAGCCAAUUAUACAGGAACAGAAUAUGGAAGCAGAAACUGAAUCAUUACAAAGCAAGGUUACACGAGAAUAGAAUACAGAAGCAGAUUAUACGGAAGCAAGAACUUAGUCCUUACAUAGAAGAUUACACACACCACAAAUUAUGAAUAUAAGCAAGAACUGAAUCAUUACAAUAGAAAAUUAUACGCAAGCAAGAACUAAAUGUAGAAGCAACAAGAGCAGAUUAUGCAAGAAAAAACCACAAACAAACAUUUAACAAAUCAUUAGGAGGGUUCAUUUGAUAACACACAUAAAUCACACUGUGGUUCAAUUCCAUGGUAACAUCUAUAUAUGUUCGGCCAUUUCACAACAUCACUCUCGGCCAUGAAAUGCUAAAAAACAGUAUAAACCUGACAAGUGGCGAUAAUGUACUACUAAACAGUAGUGCUCCCCCAGCCAGCUUCUUGCAGCUGGGUAGAGUGAGGCCCCAACACUCCCCAACCCCCCAAGACCCAGAGCAAGCAAACUAACAGCAGGGUGACAUUGAUAUCUAUCAAGCCUCUACAAAUUUGGUAAAUAAAACAGAAAAAAUUAAGUUUUUGGUGCAGCACAAGUUAAAUAGAAAAUUUGGCAGAUUGGUUCAUAGGAAUUGAACGCCCAAGCAAUUUCAUUUUAAGUUUUAGGAAUGCACAUACAAAUUGAAGUAAACCAAAUCCCCCAAUCCAUAUGUGUCAAAUGCUGUCCAAACUGAAGCUCAACUGUAGGUGUCCCUCUCCUAUGUUACAGCCAAACUACGUGGCUGGAAUGGAUUGGAUUGGACCAACCCAAAUCAAUACAGCUAGCUAGCAAGGAAGGGAAGGGGACGUCCUUCUCUUACCACCACCGUGGUCGUACAGCUGCAGCUUCUGAUCUUCACUACCCUGUGAAUUUGUACGUGCUGAAGAAGUGACAUACAUCUAGCCAAGGACGUCGUGGAACGCGAACCGUGCGGCACACCAAAAGGAACACCUCUUCCCAGCCUCGCUCAUCACAAAUCAGCUACAAUAGGGCAACCCACGCCAUGGAUCCCACGGGAGGAGCCUGGUCUGGUUGAUCUGAGAGCGAGGGGGAGUAGGUGAGGCGAGGUUGCGACGGAUCCCGGAAAAGAUGAGCGUGCAGGAGGGACCAAUCUAAUGGAGGAAAAAACCCUAGGCAUGGGUUGGAGAGGGAUGGAUGGCUGGGGGAUUCAGCGGAUCUGGCAGCUACCGGUGCUACGAGGUGAGAGCAGGGGAGGUGGAGGGCCGGCGGCGAGCUAUUGGAGGGAGGCGAGAAGGGGAAGGGUGGCAGCGAUGUGAGACGAUGGGGAAUGGGAGGGGGCUGCGGAGGGAGGGAGGAG